Molecule: long non-coding RNA, 1340 nt
Organism: Octodon degus (degu)
Lineage: Eukaryota; Metazoa; Chordata; Mammalia; Rodentia; Octodontidae
Exons: 3
Source: RefSeq, a predicted model, not a curated record
GCGGCCCCUUCGGUAUUUCUCAAUGACUGGCGCCGCAAGGACACUUCCGACGCGGGCGCGAGAGGUGUCAUUAGCGCUCUGUUUAUCAGUUCCUUCCGGUCUGUCCGGCUGGCCCCGCGCGCGGGCGGCGCGGCCACCACGCCCGGGGCGCGCUGCUGCCUCUGCGAUGACGCCCAGAGAGCGGCGCGUGUGCCGCCGUGUGCCAAGCGAGUUUACAGCACGGCUGUCUCCCCUCCCCCAACCCGCUGGCAGCCGUGGAAACCCAAGCCGCCUGGCCGUGAAGCGGAUGAUGCAAACGCAGAGGGUGACCCUGCCGGCGCCCGCCCGGAGUAGGGCGCGGCGUCCCCGCGGGCAUGAAUGGCCGGGCGCGCUUGCACAACGCGCGGCGUAAAUAGCCGGGGGCGACCGCGCAGCGCUCCGAGACCGUUACGGCGCGGGGCUCGGGCUCCGCGGCUCACGCUCUGGAGCUCCUCCCGCUCCCCCGGGGACCGGGAUUUGAGGCGGCCGAGGGGAACAGCCCUGCCCCGCCCCCUCCUGCCCUAAAUUCCUCUUGUCCAGUGAAUGAAGCGUCAGCCCCGCCGCGCGCUGAGGUCUCCACUGCAGGUCAGGUGGGGAUGGGUCACACCUCGCUAGAGCCGCCAGGGCAGGAAGCUGUCCUGGACCUGAAGAGUUGGGCGUCAGAUGGAGGCGUGAGUGCGGCUGUGCGACAGCUCUGUGGGACCUCAGCUCUGAGACCCUCUCACCAGCCUGGACAGGGGGAGAGAAGACAGCCUCCAGGGAGACGCAGCAGGCAGGUCUCUCCUUGGUACAGAGCUUUCCCGGCUUCAUCAUCACAGAGGGCACUAAGAAUAUUCCAGGCAGAGCCUGUUUUAAUGAAUGAAGGACGGAGGCCUAAGGAGGUUACACGAUCGUCAUGAUUGUAGGGCCAUGGUGCCAGGCUAAUCUGCUUAGAGCCUCGAGAUCCAGGCUCUGCUAGGUGGAGGGAGAGGGGCUCCUCCCGAGUGCAUCCAGGUGUGCUCUCCGCUCUCUCCCCACAGGAUGGGGCAGGUGGGGAUGCUCCUGGGAGCCCCGGAGAACUGAGAAGAGCUGCCGUGCAGAGCUUUCCUCAGGCCGGGCCAGGAAGCCGUGGAGAGGCUGUAAUAGGUUCCUUCUCUCUCUUCCCUCCCAUGUGGAAACUGGGUCAAAAAACAAAGCUAAUGGAAUUGGCACCAAAUAUCCGAUUUCUAGCUCUGUCCUUGGCCUGAGUGGUCCCGCUUAAGGAAUGCUUGGGGAAGAGGACAUCAAGGAGACAAGGGCUUUGUUUGUUUUGUUUUUUGUAUUUUUAGGAAAGGAUCUACUGG